RNAcentral lists this ribosomal RNA (253 nucleotides) under uncultured bacterium. RNAcentral's name for it is "partial 16S ribosomal RNA". It matches the Rfam family "Bacterial small subunit ribosomal RNA", at positions 524 to 776 of the family's 1533-position model. The record is from RNAcentral.
UACGGGGGGAGCAAGCGUUGUUCGGAUUUACUGGGCGUAAAGGGCUCGUAGGUGGCCAACUAAGUCAGACGUGAAAUCCCUCGGCUUAACCGGGGAACUGCGUCUGAUACUGGAUGGCUCGAGGUUGGGAGAGGGAUGCGGAAUUCCAGGUGUAGCGGUGAAAUGCGUAGAUAUCUGGAGGAACACCGGUGGCGAAGGCGGCAUCCUGGACCAAUUCUGACGCUGAGGAGCGAAAGCCAGGGGAGCAAACGGG